CCUCCUUACGAUCUCAACCUCAACAUAGAAAUCAUGCUAUCACUACCUUAUUUUUUUUAACUUAUUUUUAUAAUUUAAUGUUGAUCAUUUUCAUACUUUAUGAUGGAAUUUUAUUAUCUAAGCCAUCAUUGUAAUCACGAUCACCUUCUUUGCCAUCAAAUGAUUUAAUCAAGAUUGGUUAUUAUCUUUUAUGGGAUCAAAACUCUACUAUAUUAUUUGUGCCGAAUCCAUUUCAAGCAUAA
RNAcentral lists this long non-coding RNA (242 nucleotides) under Elaeis guineensis (African oil palm). RNAcentral describes it as "long non-coding RNA (EGUI_LNC009351)". The record is from RNAcentral. Lineage: Eukaryota; Viridiplantae; Streptophyta; Magnoliopsida; Arecales; Arecaceae.